GGAGAAGUAAAUAAGAGCGUACGGGGGAUGCCUAGGCUCUCAGAGGCGAUGAAGGACGUGAUAAGCUGCGAUAAGCUUCGGUAAUUGGCACAUACGAGUUAACCCGAAGAUUUCCGAAUGAGACAACUCACUAUAUUGAAGAUAUAGUAUCUGUAAGGAGGCCAACCCGGGGAACUGAAACAUCUAAGUACCCGGAGGAAAAGAAAAUAAUAAUGAUUCCGCAAGUAGUGGCGAGCGAACGUGG
RNAcentral lists this ribosomal RNA (244 nucleotides) under uncultured Flammeovirgaceae bacterium. RNAcentral describes it as "partial 23S ribosomal RNA". It matches the Rfam family "Bacterial large subunit ribosomal RNA", at positions 1 to 262 of the family's 2925-position model. The record is from RNAcentral. Lineage: Bacteria; Pseudomonadati; Bacteroidota; Cytophagia; Cytophagales; Flammeovirgaceae.